CAAAUGCGGCCCGAUAUCCAUUUUUAAUUGGCCCGCAGAGUGCAGAAAUCCCUCCCCCCUCUCAGCAUCCAUAAAAAAAAAAGUUUCCUUCCACGGCGUCAUUGAGGGGCGGAACCUACAGUGCUUCACAGAAGCUACAGAAGCCUGUCCUAAACUCCGCCCUCCCCUCCCCGUGACUGGAGUUUAGUGUAGUGCGGGGAGGGAGGGGGAGCCAGUAAACAAACUGAAAGCAUGGCUCCAACUGCUGCCUAACCUGGCCUGGAUUUCCUGCAUGAUCUCAUGAACUCCAAAUUCAAUGACCAAUGGAUGUAUGUGUCAAGUCUACAGUAAGAGCUGGAUGCAGCUGAAAAGCCUAAAAUGGAGAAAGUUUGCCCUAAGGUUUAUUGAAGAAUAAACAUUCUUGUACCAAAGGUGAGAGAUUAGUGACAAGUUUGCUCAUUCCAAAUACAAUUAUG
This is a long non-coding RNA of Xenopus laevis (African clawed frog), 455 nucleotides long. RefSeq lists it as uncharacterized. NCBI's taxonomy places the organism in Eukaryota, Metazoa, Chordata, Amphibia, Anura, Pipidae. The transcript is spliced from 3 exons. The record is from RefSeq and is a predicted model, not a curated record.